GACGAACGCUGGCGGCGUGCUUAACACAUGCCAGUCGAACGGAAAGGCCCUGCUUUUGUGGGGUGCUCGAGUGGCGAACGGGUGAGUAACACGUGAGUAACCUGCCCUUGACUUUGGGAUAACUUCAGGAAACUGGGGCUAAUACCGGAUAGGAGCUCCUGCUGCAUGGUGGGGGUUGGAAAGUUUCGGCGGUUGGGGAUGGACUCGCGGCUUAUCAGCUUGUUGGUGGGGUAGUGGCUUACCAAGGCUUUGACGGGUAGCCGGCCUGAGAGGGUGACCGGCCACAUUGGGACUGAGAUACGGCCCAGACGCCUACGGGAGGCAGCAGUGGGGAAUAUUGCACAAUGGGCGGAAGCCGGAUGCAGCAACGCCGCGUGCGGGAUGACGGCCUUCGGGUUGUAAACCGCUUUCGCCUGUGACGAAGCGUGAGUGACGGUAAUGGGUAAAGAAGCACCGGCUAACUACGU
This 467-nucleotide ribosomal RNA is filed under the name uncultured bacterium. Its description in RNAcentral is "partial 16S ribosomal RNA". It matches the Rfam family "Bacterial small subunit ribosomal RNA", at positions 28 to 506 of the family's 1533-position model. The record is from RNAcentral.